CCUGGUAAUUAUAGCGAUUUGGAACCACCUGAUCCCAUUUCGAACUCAGAAGUGAAACGAAUAUGCGCCGAUGAUAGUAUGAAGUUUCUUCAUGUUAAAGUAGGUGAUUACCAGGU
This 116-nucleotide ribosomal RNA is filed under the name Candidatus Legionella polyplacis. Lineage: Bacteria; Pseudomonadati; Pseudomonadota; Gammaproteobacteria; Legionellales; Legionellaceae. The record is from RNAcentral.